Molecule: ribosomal RNA, 1434 nt
Filed under: uncultured Bordetella sp.
Lineage: Bacteria; Pseudomonadati; Pseudomonadota; Betaproteobacteria; Burkholderiales; Alcaligenaceae
Description: partial 16S-23S ribosomal RNA intergenic spacer
Rfam family: Bacterial small subunit ribosomal RNA
Source: RNAcentral
AGUCGAACGGCAGCACGGACUUCGGUCUGGUGGCGAGUGGCGAACGGGUGAGUAAUGUAUCGGAACGUGCCUAGUAGCGGGGAUAAUCACGCGUGAAAGCGUAGCUAAUACCGGCACACUUCUUCGGGGGAAAGCGGGGACCUUCGGGCCUCGCACUAUUAGAGCGGCCGACGUGGAUUAGCUAGUUGGUGGGGUAACGGUUCACCAAGGCGACGAUCCGUAGCUGGUUUGCAGGACGACCAGCCACACUGGGACUGAGACACGGCCCAGACCUUACGGGAGGCAGCAGGUGGGGCCUGGGACAAUGGGGAAACCCCGGAUUCAGCCAUCCCGCGUGUGCGAUGAAGGCCUUCGGGUUGUAAAGCACUUUUGGUGUGGGAAAAGAAACGGCACGGAUAAUACCCCGUGCAACUGACGGUACCUGCAGAAUAAGCACCGGCUAACGUAUGUGCCAGCAGCCGCGGUAAUACGUAGGGUGCAAGCGUUAAUCGGAAUUACUGGGCGUAAAGCGUGGCGCAGGUUCGGAAAGAAAGAUGUGAAAUCCCAGAGCUUAACUUUGGAACUGCAUUUUUAACUACCGAGCUAGAGUGUGUCAGAGGGAGGUGGAAUUCCGCGUGUAGCAGUGAAAUGGCGUAGACAUGCGGGAGCAACACCGAUGGCGAAGGCAGCCUCUCCCGGGAUAACACUGACGCUCAUGCACGAAAGCGUGGGGAGCAAACAGGAUUAGAUACCCUGGUAGUCCACGCCUCAAACGAUGUCAGCUAGCUGUUGGGGCCUUCGGGCCCUGGUAGCGCAGCUAACGCGGGUGAAGUUGACCGCCUGGGGAGUACGGGUCAAAGAUUAAAACCUGUGCUGAAUGACGGGGAUCUGCACAAGCGGUGGAUGAUGUGGAUUAAUUGAUGCAACGCGAAAACCUUACUCUACCUUGACAUGUCUGGAAAUCUCGAAGAGAUUUGGGAGUGCUCGCAAGAGAACCGGAACACAGGUGCUGCAAUGGCUGUCGUCAGCUCGUGUCGAUGUUGGGUUAAGUCCCGCAACGAGCGGCAACCCUUGUCAUUAGUUGGCACAUGAAAGGGCACUCUUAAUGAGACUGCCGGUGACAAACCGGAGGAAGGUGGGGAUGACGUCAAGUCCUCAUGGCCCUGCGGUAAUACACGUCAUACAAUGACAGACAGAGGGUCGCUAACCCGCGAGGGGGAGCGCCAAUCCUAGAAACCCGAUUGUAGUCCGGAUCGCAGUCUGCAACUCGACUGCGUGAAGUCGGAAUCGCUAGUAAUCGCGGAUCAGCAUGUCGCGGUGAAGUACGUUCCCGGGUCUUGUACACCGCCCGUCACACCAUGGGAGUGGGUUUUACCAGAAGUAGUUAGCCUAACCGUGAAGAGGGCGAUUACCACGGUAGAUUCUACAGACUGGGGUGAAGUCGUAACAAGGUAA